AUCUUGGACAGCUCAAUGUAAUAGAAUCUUAGAGAAUGAGUCCAGUGAUCGGAGGUACAAAUAUAAAUAACUAUUCGAAGGGUUUUUAAUAAUUUCAUAAAACUCCAUGUUGCCAAAGUCAAAAAGCACCAAGCCAAUUCAACCCACUUGGAAAAAUGCACGAAUCCCAAAUCAUACCAGUCCAAUUCAUAUGUAUCGCUAGAAUAUGUAUCGUUAGUUAUGCCUCGUGAAUAUAUGUACAUGCAAGGGUGAAAUAUUUUGUUUAGAAUUGAAAUGCUCCUUGAAAUAUAUACUGGAGUUUUAAAGUCGGAGUGACGUUUUUGUAAGUUCGGCAUAGAUGAUCGAGAUAUCAACAUUGAUAUAAAAGUGGAUAUGGAAUUUCCAAAGCACCGAACAACUUGGAUUAAAAAAGAAAAACCACUUUUGAAUUUUUUUUAGUAAAAAGGCGCUAAAGCAAAAAAAAUAGCAUCUUCCUCGUAUCAACCCAAUAUGCGAUGGUGUCAAAUAUCGAUCAAGUUAUUCUCUCAACUUCAAAACUAUUCACCACCAAAUACCUGGCGAUGAAAACAUAAUAUUUAUUAACUAUCUUCAUUUUUUCACAAGGACGCACCUAUUUUAUGCCCCAGGUGUAUCGGAUCUCUUGGUAACCGAUAUCCCAAAUCAAUCAACAUAUCGUUUACUUGGUGUACACUUUCCUGAAAAAAAAUGAAGAAGAAACAAGAUAUGAUUUCAUCUUGAAGAUAAUGAUUACUAAUGCUUUGGAUUGAAAAAGAAGCACAUCGAUGAUUUGGUCAUAAUAAGAAGCAAUGUUUAAUUUUACAAAUCGGAGUAUGAAAGAGCGAGGAAAACGAUCGAAAGAUUGUAUUAAGCAUAAGCCAAUUGAUUUAUGCAUUACUUGUGCUUCCCUGGCAAGGAAAGGACAGUAACACUACUAAUGCGAUUAAGAAUGCUUCAUGAAGCUUCAAAUCUUUACAUCGCGACGAUUGUUGAAUAAAGGCACCAAAAAAUAGUAGCUUGUUUUAUAGUGGUCUUUGUUCAUACAUCUAUUUCUUCUUUCGUGAUAGCGUAACGUUCGUCCAGAUAAUAGAACAGUAUAAUGCCAAUACAGAAAUCCUACUAAUGCAAUUAACCCAAAUCCACAAGUUUGUGGUUGAGAACCGAUUUCUCAGCUUUUUCAAGUAAAUUCUGUAACGACAGGUUUAACACGUUCAACUAUUAUAAUGCAAACAAAUUGUUUGUACGAAAUUGAAGCAAAAAAAUGAGAACGGU
Non-coding RNA from Schizosaccharomyces pombe (fission yeast), 1269 nucleotides. Lineage: Eukaryota; Fungi; Ascomycota; Schizosaccharomycetes; Schizosaccharomycetales; Schizosaccharomycetaceae. The record is from the annotation of a GenBank genome assembly.